CAAUAUAUUGUGGCGUUUAACAUGCUUGUAAACAGCCGGGACAGUUUUGUUACAGCACAGCAUAAGAACAAACUAUACAAAUCAGUGGAAAAGGGCUUAACGUAUGAGAUCGAUACAAAACAGAAGGAAAAAAAAAGGUCUAACAAAAACACAUACCGAAUGUGGCAGGGUAUUUUUACCUCGUUUUCAAACAAUCAAAGUACUGAAGUACUGAACAUCGAAUGACUGCAAGUUCUUUUGGAUUGUCACAAGC
RNAcentral lists this long non-coding RNA (253 nucleotides) under Mytilus galloprovincialis (Mediterranean mussel). The record is from RNAcentral. Lineage: Eukaryota; Metazoa; Mollusca; Bivalvia; Mytilida; Mytilidae.